RNAcentral lists this ribosomal RNA (64 nucleotides) under uncultured bacterium. RNAcentral describes it as "partial 16S ribosomal RNA". The record is from RNAcentral.
UGCCCUUGACAUACUUGUCGCACUUACCAGAGAUGGUUUGUUUCAGUUAGGCUGGACAAUGUAC